GGCUUGUUGGUCUAGUGGUAUGAUUCUCACUUAGAGUGCGAGAGAUCUUGGGUUCAAAUCCUAGAUGAGACC
Molecule: transfer RNA, 72 nt
Filed under: Danio rerio (zebrafish)
Lineage: Eukaryota; Metazoa; Chordata; Actinopteri; Cypriniformes; Danionidae
Rfam family: tRNA
About the family: Transfer RNA (tRNA) molecules are approximately 80 nucleotides in length. Their secondary structure includes four short double-helical elements and three loops (D, anti-codon, and T loops).
Source: Rfam by way of RNAcentral